GGCUCCCGCUUGCGGGGGUACUCGAGUGGCGAACGGGUGAGUAACACGUGGGUGAUCUGCCCUGUACUUCGGGAUAAGCCUGGGAAACUGGGUCUAAUACUGGAUAGGACUGCUGGUUGGUGCUGGUGGUGGAAAGCUUUUGCGGUAUGGGAUGAGCUCGCGGCCUAUCAGCUUGUUGGUGGGGUAAUGGCCUACCAAGGCGUCGACGGGUAGCCGGCCUGAGAGGGUGUACGGCCACAUUGGGACUGAGAUACGGCCCAGACUCCUACGGGAGGCAGCAGUGGGGAAUAUUGCACAAUGGGCGCAAGCCUGAUGCAGCGACGCCGCGUGGGGGAUGACGGCCUUCGGGUUGUAAACUCCUUUCGCCAGGGACGAAGCGUUUUGUGACGGUACCUGGAUAAGAAGCACCGGCUAACUACGUGCCAGCAGCCGCGGUAAUACGUAGGGUGCGAGCGUUGUCCGGAAUUACUGGGCGUAAAGAGCUCGUAGGUGGUUUGUCGCGUCGUUUGUGUAAGUCCAUGGCUUAACUGUGGGACUGCAGGCGAUACGGGCAUAACUUGAGUGCUGUAGGGGAGACUGGAAUUCCUGGUGUAGCGGUGAAAUGCGCAGAUAUCAGGAGGAACACCGAUGGCGAAGGCAGGUCUCUGGGCAGUAACUGACGCUGAGGAGCGAAAGCAUGGGUAGCGAACAGGAUUAGAUA
RNAcentral lists this ribosomal RNA (700 nucleotides) under Corynebacterium auris. RNAcentral describes it as "bacterial SSU rRNA". It matches the Rfam family "Bacterial small subunit ribosomal RNA", at positions 71 to 784 of the family's 1533-position model. Lineage: Bacteria; Bacillati; Actinomycetota; Actinomycetes; Mycobacteriales; Corynebacteriaceae. The record is from RNAcentral.